AAGUCGUAACAAGGUUUCCGUAGGUGAACCUGCGGAAGGAUCGUUAAAAAAUCGUUUGAGCCGCAAGGCUCUAUUAUUUUGUGAACCGUUUGUGGGAGCUGGUGAUGAUGGUUGAUGGAGGCAUGAGAGAGGAGCGGCGCUUGUCGUCGCCUCUGCCUCAAGUUUUUGUCGACGGUCACUACUGGCCCCACUAAUAUAUAAACAUAUGUCUUUGACGUUGAGGAAAUUAUAUCUAUAUAAUAUAUAUACAACUUUCAACAGUGGAUCUCUCGGCUCUU
Molecule: unclassified non-coding RNA, 278 nt
Filed under: fungal sp.
Lineage: Eukaryota; Fungi
Description: partial internal transcribed spacer region
Rfam family: Eukaryotic small subunit ribosomal RNA (bases 1-46)
Source: RNAcentral